GCUGGUGUAAAUGAUGACUCAGAUUUUUUUUCCCCCAUCAGAUCGACCUUGCUGAUGUCUUUGAAUUUUUGCCAGUUUAGUUCUGAUGCACCAGC
Molecule: small nucleolar RNA, 95 nt
Filed under: Phascolarctos cinereus (koala)
Lineage: Eukaryota; Metazoa; Chordata; Mammalia; Diprotodontia; Phascolarctidae
Description: Small nucleolar SNORD12/SNORD106 (ENSPCIG00000008050.2)
Rfam family: Small nucleolar SNORD12/SNORD106
About the family: This family belong to the C/D class of snoRNA which contain the C (UGAUGA) and D (CUGA) box motifs. This family includes the human ortholog of mouse snoRNA HBII-99 and human snoRNA U106.
Source: Rfam by way of RNAcentral